Molecule: unclassified non-coding RNA, 805 nt
Filed under: Hevea brasiliensis (rubber tree)
Lineage: Eukaryota; Viridiplantae; Streptophyta; Magnoliopsida; Malpighiales; Euphorbiaceae
Source: RNAcentral
UGAGGGCAGAAAGUGACCAAAUAGCUCGCACGAGUGCAAGUCGCAAUGCUUGUAGGGUCAUCAUACGCAUAAGAGUAAGCUUUAGGACAAGCUGCCUUAUGGAAUAAGCAGUUGGCUUGCAAGAUUGAGGACUUCCGAAGCUCCCUGUGCAGCAAUACCUCGGCGAAUUGAACGCAAAACAAGCACUCUUGCAAGCUAGCACUCUUCUAUUAUCCUUGGACCUCACCUGUAACCCAACUGGGCACAUCAGGUUCAGGUCACUAACACACCCUGCAUAGCUGCAUUUGCCUGAUCCUUUAAUUGGCGUUAUAGAGAUUGCAAGAUUGUAGCCAUCUACAAGGCUGACAUCGUAGAAAUCUUGGUCAUUUCCCAAGGUGAUUUCUGCUAAGGUGNCAUGCCAUUGCAGUAAAGGGCACCACCACAAUCUCCUGUAGCGCAGUGACCACGGCCUGAGGCGUCGAAUUUGCAACCGUGGCGACCCCAGAAGCGUCCGGACCAGAGAGGUGGGAGGUUGAGGGAAUAGGCCUUGUUGGGUAGGAGCUUGAAGCCACCGCGAGCUAAGACAGGCUUCCCUGCGCUUGGUUGAAUGCCAGGCCACACUGGGUGGCUGCACUUGUUGUAUAGUGUUAUGGUUGCUGCUGAGACCUCAACUGUAAUCUGGGAGAAAAUGAGGGUGGCGAGCAAGAUACUGAGCAGAGAUCUAAGCAUUACCGCCAUUGCUAGCUAAGGAGCUGGUAAGUGAGAGAUUAGGUAAUGCAGACCACAGAAUGGAGCUGUCCCUUCUCUCUCUCUCUCUCUCUCUCUC